This is a small nuclear RNA of Otolemur garnettii (small-eared galago), 104 nucleotides long. Lineage: Eukaryota; Metazoa; Chordata; Mammalia; Primates; Galagidae. The record is from Ensembl.
GUGCUCACUUCGGCAGCACAUGUACUAAAAUUGGAACGAUACAGAGAUUAGCAUGGGCCCUGCGCAAGGAUGACACGCAAAUUUGUGAAGCGUUCCAUAAUUUU